This is a long non-coding RNA of Lytechinus variegatus (green sea urchin), 1279 nucleotides long. RefSeq lists it as uncharacterized. The transcript is spliced from 2 exons. The record is from RefSeq and is a predicted model, not a curated record. Lineage: Eukaryota; Metazoa; Echinodermata; Echinoidea; Temnopleuroida; Toxopneustidae.
UGACCUUUAUAGACCUUCAACGCAAUAUAACUCGCCGGUCGAUCAACGAGAAGAAGUGAGCAAAGUAUCGUUCUUAUUUAACAAUUUAUCCAAUAAUUUGAAGGUCAUUGAAGUUUAUUAUUGAAAAUAUGUCACUAACAAAGACUGUCUACAACAAUCUCUUCAGGAGAUCUUCAACAUUUGCACUCACAAUCCUUGUUGGAGCAUUUUUCUUCGAGAGAGUAUUCGACAGGACCGCUGAUGGGUUGUUCAAUAACCUCAACACAGGGAAACAAUGGAAUGAUGUGAAAGGACCCAUUCUAAAGAGACUAGAAGGAGAGGAUGAUGAAGAUUAGACCCUUAUUCAGAGCCACCCCCCUUUGACAUCAAUGCUAGAGAUAUUUAUACAUCAGUCGCUCAUCACAUAUUCACAUGGCCCCAAAGGUGAUUGGAACUCUUGUCCUGGAUGAUGAAAAACAGAAGAAACUGUCUUGCAGUUGUCCCAACCAGCUAUGGACAACUGAGAAAAUGCUGUGCUUGUUCUGUCAGUCGUUGGAGUAGUUUGUGCCUUUAAGCUGCCAAGAAUCGCACUCAGUUUGAUGUUGAACAGGAUUUUAAACAACCUUGAAAACAAGUCAUCCAUGUCCUACAUCCAUCAUUACUUCAAAAGGAUAGCAUCAUAUUCCAGAGUUCAACAGUUAAUUCAAGAGAUGAACCGAUUUCAGAUGGAGAUUCAGUCGAUGAAGUUUAGAUUUGAUGCAUGAAUCAGAAUUUGAAACACACAUGCCAUAUAAUAAUUUAAAAGAAAUAGAUUAAGAGGCUAUGCAAAAACCUUUUUGCAUGGUAAUAUAACACCAUAACACCACCAUGAAGUUCUACUUUUGAGGGAGUUGAUUCAUAAAAUGUGUACAUAUACUCAGUAUUUUACAUUGAAGAAUUAUGAAAGAUUUAAUAUAAGAUCAAAUUGUUAAUCUCUUAUUAUCUCUGUAUCCAGAAAUUAGCUCCUUUUUUUUAACUUGUCCCAAUACUUCCAAUUAAGGUUGAGUAUACUUUAUUGCUAUGAAACAAGGAAAAAAGGAGUCAAAACUGGGUAGAAAGGAACCAUUUUGUUCUUUUAUUGGGGCCAUGUUUCUAGAUUGGGGCAUACUUAUCUCUGUGUACAAAAAAAUGUGAUGCAAUGUAUUUAGAUGAACAUGGAGAUAAACAUUUAUUAAAAUGAUUGUUCGAAAUUAGACAAGUUUUCACCAGAUGAUUUUUGUUGUGUACUUUGUGGUCAUGCCAAUAAAUCUUUUUAAAGGGA